This 400-nucleotide ribosomal RNA is filed under the name Staphylococcus aureus. RNAcentral describes it as "bacterial SSU rRNA". It matches the Rfam family "Bacterial small subunit ribosomal RNA", at positions 1 to 389 of the family's 1533-position model. Lineage: Bacteria; Bacillati; Bacillota; Bacilli; Caryophanales; Staphylococcaceae. The record is from RNAcentral.
UUUUAUGGAGAGUUUGAUCCUGGCUCAGGAUGAACGCUGGCGGCGUGCCUAAUACAUGCAAGUCGAGCGAACGGACGAGAAGCUUGCUUCUCUGAUGUUAGCGGCGGACGGGUGAGUAACACGUGGAUAACCUACCUAUAAGACUGGGAUAACUUCGGGAAACCGGAGCUAAUACCGGAUAAUAUUUUGAACCGCAUGGUUCAAAAGUGAAAGACGGUCUUGCUGUCACUUAUAGAUGGAUCCGCGCUGCAUUAGCUAGUUGGUAAGGUAACGGCUUACCAAGGCAACGAUGCAUAGCCGACCUGAGAGGGUGAUCGGCCACACUGGAACUGAGACACGGUCCAGACUCCUACGGGAGGCAGCAGUAGGGAAUCUUCCGCAAUGGGCGAAAGCCUGACGG